AGGUGCUCAGGGAGUAUUGUGAAGUAAGGAAACAACAUGAUUAUGACGCAGCAUCACCUUGAUGGGGACCCACGGGCAACCCUGGGAGCCCCAGGAUGGUCACCAGACCGCAGAAACAGAUCGCAGAAACGAUCUCAAUAUUUAGAAGCUAUCUGAGCGCGAGCCAUAUGUGUUUUUCACCUCUUUACAGACAAAACUAUCAAGUGUGUAAUUAAGGCAUAUUCAGCGGCAACUGAAUGUGAUACCGGACAGUGCACGAGGUGGCCUGUUACCCAGAAGACUUUCUCCCUGGGAAUGAAAGGAAAUCGGCCCUGCCGGGGAGUCCUGGGCGUCCACCCGGCUGCACUUCACGUGUGACCUCCUUUGAUACACGACCUUCCGAGCGUUGGCCCAGCCCUUGCCCCACCCUCCGUCUCCCCGGAGGAGCCCCUCCCGUCCGAGUCGGUGGCGCUGACCUCGAGGCCAGGGCGGCGUGCGUGUGACUCCGCCCCUCCACGCCCAUGGCCGCGGCUGAUUGGUCCAGGAAAGCCUACCUGAUCCAAGCGGGCCAAUCAGAUCCUUCGGGGGAUACGGACUGGCACAACUCGUUCAGGCUGGUCCCUGACCUAAGAAAGGGUCAACCUGUUGACUGUAAAGUAACUGCCUUUCCCCUCAUUGCUGUUUGCACAAGAGAAAAGAAGCAGGAAGCUGUGCGCAGGCCGGGGAAGGGUGAGGGAGUGAUGAAGGUUUGCAGAGGAGAGUUCUCGCGCUCUGCCCGAAUUCAUACUUCCGGUAAUUCCUGCCUUGUUUCAACGAGCCCGCGAAAUUGCUGUUACUUGCGGUCAAAUCGGCCUUAUUAAAGCACUUCAGUUGGCAAAUGUAAAUAAAGUACCACAAAGCCCCUGAAUGUGUUGCUUUUAUUGUCAUUGUUGAAAAUGACGGAGCUCAAAGGCACAGAGCCACCGAGGUCAGGGGAAUGUCCACAAUGGAAGCGUGAGGUCAUCUGUCUCUUUGUCCUGAAAUCACUUCCCUGUGGUGAAAAGGGCUUCCCCCAGAAGAAACGUGCUCUGAAAAGGACUUUAUUAAACCUGGAUUUAGAUUUGUCCAGUGGUGUGCUGGCAAAUGUUUGACGACUGGUUCUUCAGAAAUCCAAAGACAUUCAUUAUACACAAAGUCAAAACAGCAAAUCAAGCCUUGUUACCAAUGUGAUGUCACCAAACACAGAGUUGGGAAGAGAUGUGCCGAAGCACAUCGUUAUGUCAAGUUUCCAUUAGACAGAGACCAUCGACGCGGAUGACCUCAAGAGACUCGAUGAUGGCAAAAUGUAAAAUCACGAGGAAGUGAAGAGUUUUGAGUCUUGUCUUUAUUUUAAUAAACUGCAUUUGAUUGUAAAGAUUA
Molecule: long non-coding RNA, 1377 nt
Organism: Panthera uncia (snow leopard)
Lineage: Eukaryota; Metazoa; Chordata; Mammalia; Carnivora; Felidae
Exons: 2
Source: RefSeq, a predicted model, not a curated record